Molecule: long non-coding RNA, 800 nt
Organism: Pseudoliparis swirei
Lineage: Eukaryota; Metazoa; Chordata; Actinopteri; Perciformes; Liparidae
Exons: 2
Source: RefSeq, a predicted model, not a curated record
UGCGGUUGUAAGCUUGUUAUUCGUUUCUAGAUAUUUAUUUAUAAAACCAGUGAUCCAUAUGUUAUUUUAGAAGGGAAUGUUUAUAGUAACUUAAAGCGCUGCAUUGUACUGCCAUCUGGCGGUAAGAAACGGUGCAGCACUCUCAAGAAGCACGAAGGCGUAUUGACUGCAUAACACCUCAUCAAUAAACAAUGCUAAUAGCAUCAUUGUAAUCCCAUUAUGAACUGAAUAUAGAGACGCAAGAAGAACGGGUUGGGCUUGGUUGUCUGCUGUGCCUCACUUUGGUUUGACACAUGCCAUCAGCACGACUCGGUCAUGUGACCAGUGGACCCUAUUCUUGACAGUUCUUGUCAGGGGUCAAAGUGCUGCUGAUAACAAACCAGACCUGCUUCUUUUUCUCUGAUGAAAGGACACAGCGCAAGAGUCAGGGUCUGCCGCGUUUGAGCCGGUUGCUAAAUGUGAUGCAAUCACGUGCAACCCGUCAGUCUUCCAUUUACUCUAAUACUGAUCAUCAUAAGCCCCAUGAAGGGAUGAGUGGCUGCAUGGUCCAAAGAGCAAUCUGGACGGAUUAGUGAGUAGAUCCUCCCAGCAUCAGCUCUCUUUCCCCUCACCUGGUCCUCCACGCCCAUCUCUCCUGCAGCACAUCCUCUCAUCAGCGCCUCACUCUUUAGGCCCUCCACUCGCACCUGUUCGCUGCCAGAUUGUCUCGGGUGUUCCUUCCAACUGCUCCCUGUUUGGAUUUCUUUGCCUCAGCGACUGAUCUGUUGCUUGCAUACCAAGUAAACGGAACCAUCCUUUUA